Non-coding RNA from Myotis davidii, 84 nucleotides. The record is from Rfam. Lineage: Eukaryota; Metazoa; Chordata; Mammalia; Chiroptera; Vespertilionidae.
ACUUACGAUUAGUUUUGCAGGUUUGCAUUUCAGUGUAUAUAUGUAUAUAUGGCUGUGCAAAUCCAUGCAAAACUGAUUGUGAUA